GUCCACGCCGUAAACGAUGAGAACUAGUUAUUGGGGGUAUUGACUCCCUCAGUGACGCAGCUAACGCAUUAAGUUCUCCGCCUGGGGAGUACGGUCGCAAGACUAAAACUCAAACAAAUUGACGGGGGCCCGCACAAGCGGUGGAUUAUGUGGUUUAAUUCGAAGCAACGCGCAGAACCUUACCUAGGCUUGAACUCCUACGAACCUGUCUUAAUCGGCGGGGUGUCCGCAAGGAAAUGUAGUGAGAGGUGCUGCAUGGCUGUCGU
Molecule: ribosomal RNA, 266 nt
Filed under: uncultured bacterium
Lineage: Bacteria
Description: partial 16S ribosomal RNA
Rfam family: Bacterial small subunit ribosomal RNA
Source: RNAcentral